This 497-nucleotide ribosomal RNA is filed under the name uncultured bacterium. Its description in RNAcentral is "partial 16S ribosomal RNA". It matches the Rfam family "Bacterial small subunit ribosomal RNA", at positions 28 to 507 of the family's 1533-position model. The record is from RNAcentral.
GAUGAACGCUGGCGGCGUGCCUAAUACAUGCAAGUCGAGCGAACAGACGAGGAGCUUGCUCCUCUAACGUUAGCGGCGGACGGGUGAGUAACACGUGGAUAACCUACCUAUAAGACUUGGAUAACUUCGGGAAACCGGAGCUAAUACCGGAUAAUAUAUUGAACCGCAUGGUUCAAUAGUGAAAGACGGCUUUGCUGUCACUUAUAGAUGGAUCCGCGCCGCAUUAGCUAGUUGGUAAGGUAACGGCUUACCAAGGCAACGAUGCGUAGCCGACCUGAGAGGGUGAUCAGCCACACUGGAACUGAGACACGGUCCAGACUCCUACGGGAGGCAGCAGUAGGGAAUCUUCCGCAAUGGGCGAAAGCCUGACGGAGCAACGCCGCGUGAGUGAUGAAGGUCUUCGGGUCGUAAAACUCUGUUAUUAGGGAAGAACAAAUGUGUAAGUAACUAUGCACGUCUUGACGGUACCUAAACAGAAAGCCACGGCUAACUACGUG